Molecule: ribosomal RNA, 253 nt
Filed under: uncultured bacterium
Lineage: Bacteria
Description: partial 16S ribosomal RNA
Rfam family: Bacterial small subunit ribosomal RNA
Source: RNAcentral
UACGUAGGGUGCGAGCGUUAAUCGGAAUUACUGGGCGUAAAGCGUGCGCAGGCGGUUCGUUAUGUCCGAUGUGAAAGCCCCGAGCUUAACUUGGGAAUGGCAUUGGAAACUGGCGGGCUGGAGUGCGGCAGAGGGGGGUGGAAUUCCACGUGUAGCAGUGAAAUGCGUAGAGAUCGGGAGGAACAUCCGUGGCGAAGGCGGCCAUCUGGAUCAACACUGACGCUGAGGCACGAAAGCGUGGGGAGCAAACAGG